This is an RNA transcript of Drosophila subobscura, 1118 nucleotides long. It is a transcript of the gene named cyclin-dependent kinase 2, with no coding region annotated. Lineage: Eukaryota; Metazoa; Arthropoda; Insecta; Diptera; Drosophilidae. The transcript has 7 exons. The record is from RefSeq and is a predicted model, not a curated record.
CAUCAAGGCGUCAAUCUAGUCUGCGAAUACUAGAUUAAACUGAUGACAACCGUUCUAGAUAACUUCCUACGAGCUGAGAAGAUCGGCGAAGGCACAUACGGCAUUGUGUACAAGGCGCGCAGCAACCUAACUGGACAGGAUGUGGCGCUCAAGAAAAUCCGGCUGGAGGGAGAGGCGGAAGGUGUGCCUUCCACGGCCAUCCGUGAGAUAUCCCUGCUAAAGAACCUGAGGCAUCAGAACGUGGUGCAGCUGUUCGACGUGGUCAUUUCUGGCAACAAUCUGUAUAUGAUAUUCGAGUACCUCAACAUGGAUCUGAAGAAGCUAAUGGACAAGAAGAAGGAUGUCUUCACACCGCAGUUGAUUAAAAGCUAUAUGUACCAGAUACUCGACGCACUCUGCUUUUGUCACACCAAUCGGAUACUGCAUCGCGAUCUCAAGCCCCAGAAUCUACUCGUAGACACGGCGGGCAAAAUAAAGUUGGCAGAUUUCGGACUGGCACGCGCCUUCAAUGUACCCAUGCGUCCUUACACCCACGAGGUGGUCACGCUGUGGUACCGCGCACCGGAGAUAUUGCUGGGCACCAAGUUCUACUCGACUGGAGUGGACAUCUGGAGCCUGGGCUGCAUCUUCGCCGAGAUGAUUAUGCGACGCUCAUUGUUUCCCGGAGACAGCGAGAUCGAUCAGCUGUAUCGAAUCUUUCGCACUUUGAGCACGCCCGACGAAACCACUUGGCCGGGUGUGACACAGCUGCCGGACUUCAAAGCCAACUUCCCCAAAUGGGAGGCCAGCAAUGUGCCUGCACCCAUCCGCGAGCACGAAGCCAACGAUCUUAUAAUGUCGAUGCUGGCAUAUAACCCAAACAUACGCAUCUCCGCCAAGGAUGCGCUUCAGCAUGCCUACUUGCAGAAUGUGGAGCACGUGGAGCAUGUUGCGCUGCCGCUGGACCCCAAUGCGGGCAGUGCUUCUCGCCUCACGAAGCUCGUCUGAGUGUCGCCCAACCCCGGAUCAACCCUAGCUAAUUUCUUGUGAUCUGUUAGUAUACGGUGGCAACUUCAUAUCAUCCAUUCCUAACGCACACACAACAAAUUCUUUAAAUACACGUUCAUGCCCAUCAAGUA